AGUUUCUAGGGAAACCAUUCAGAGUCGACCAUGGCGACGGACGGUGGUAGCCGCGGGGAGCGAAUUGCCAUUUCCAACCAACAUAAAUCCAGCCUCGCUUCCCCUGAAAAAGUCCGUGAACUUCUUAAUGAGGGGGUAUCUGCAGUAGACGUCAAUUGCAACAGCAGACAAGGAGAUUUAAACAUUCCGGAAGUAAAAGGCAACACCCAGGCACCCUGUGAAGCUACGAACGAUGAAGCUUUUUUCUCCAGAGUGGAAUCAUAUUCAUGUAUGAAAUGGGCAGCCAAGCCACGCGUCCUGUCUCCCCUGAUGUGCGCCAGGUACGGUUGGAUCAACGUCGGCUGUGAUAUGCUUAAGUGCUCCAGCUGCCAGGCUUUCCUUUGUGCAUCCCUACAGCCAACGUUAGACAUUGAGAAAUAUAAAACUCGAGUUGCAGAAAUAUCGAGGCAGCUUCAAACGCAGCAUGAAAAGUAUUGUCCUUGGCCCGACUUUCCUUGUCCAGAGCGGUUCUGGUUGGUUCCAGCUUCUGAACCAUCAAAGCUUCUUACUUCCCUUCUGGAGCGCUUCCAGAGCACCUGCGUCCUGGCGCAGCAGCUUCCGGCGAUGAGUCCAGAGCUGCUCAAGUCCAUGUCUCUGACAGAGGAUGUGAUCAGCACUGUGCUGCAGUUGAUUGACGAAGAACAGAAGCGAAAGGGAGGGACUCCCUGCUCCGAGUCUUUGGCCGUGCAGGUGUCCGCAUGCAUCGUUUCUCUCUGUGGCUGGGGAGCAAGCCCAGCUCUGCAUGCAAUGAGCCUGCCAACCGUCUCCUGCUCCUACUGUAUGCGAAAGGUGGGCUUGUGGAACUUCCUUCAGAUAGAGGGGCUCGGCGGCGACGCAGAAGCGCCACCAAACCCCGCAGGGCCCUCUGGUCCCACCGCAGGGCCCGCGUCAGCAGCGUCCGACGGAGACGCUUCCGGAUCAGUCUCACCCACUCCAGCGCCAACAACUCCAUGUCGCAUGAAGCUUCGGAGUCAGGACUCCACCCGCACUGACCAGGAUGAAGGUACCGCCUCUCCAGUAGCCUCUCGUGCCCGAAGCAGAGACUCGCCGAGUCCAAGUGAAGAUCUGCCGAGUCCUUUAACCAGAGGCAAGAGGCCUGCAACCCGGAGUCGGGGACAGGGAUUCGGCUCAGGGACUGACGGCGCUGCCAACCUGCACCCUCCCAAACGCCUGUGUCUCUCAUUGGCCGGUGGUCCAGAUGGCCCUUUGCCCAAGAAAGCGUUUGACCCCCUCGCUCAACACAGAGACUGGUGUCCCUGGAUCUCUGAGGGCAAGGAGAAUAUGGAUCCAAGAGCCUUGUCGUCUUUGGCCAGAACCUCGACCGUUAAUCAGCAGGGCUGGAAAGCUGCUCUCGACCUCCUCAUGCCCACAAAGAAGAACUCCAACGCACAAGGUGGCACCCAAGCACAGGGCCCUCGUGACAAGUCUAAAAGAGUGUUUGCUAUUCUUCGUCAGUGGCAGCAUCGAGAGCAAGCAUGAAGUCACCAUCCUGAGUGGACUCAAUGAAUUUGUAGUGAAGUUUUAUGGCCCACAAGGAACGCCGUACGAGGGAGGCGUGUGGAAAGUGCGAGUAGAUCUUCCUGAUAAAUACCCAUUCAAAUCGCCAUCCAUAG
This is an RNA transcript of Poecilia latipinna (sailfin molly), 1652 nucleotides long. It is a transcript of the gene named ubiquitin-conjugating enzyme E2 H, with no coding region annotated. NCBI's taxonomy places the organism in Eukaryota, Metazoa, Chordata, Actinopteri, Cyprinodontiformes, Poeciliidae. The record is from RefSeq and is a predicted model, not a curated record. The transcript has 12 exons.